GUGGAUAGAAGGAGAUGCUUCAUGCUGCUUUGUCUCAUCUGGGAGUAUUGAGAUGCAGAUUUUCUUUGUCUCCUUUCUUUUCACUCCCGCUAUCUGAGGACUUUGUUUACAGUUUGUAUGCAAAUUGAGGAAAAAAUCUGGGCCCAUUUGAAGACUCUGAGGGAAGAGCGACAAAAGCUCCAGGGAUUUAAAGUGAGUGAAGAAAAGAGAAGCCAGGAGUAUCUGAGACUGUCCGAUUUGGCCAAUGUACAAGGCAGAGGGGCAUUGCUGGCAUAUGAUGGCAUAUAUCACAAUCAGCAUCUGGGUCCAGUACAGCAAGAAGUUAUUUAAAAAACUCUGCUCACUAUACAAAAUGUUCUGACCCCCAAAGGAUCAGCCACAU
This is a non-coding RNA of Chrysemys picta bellii (western painted turtle), 382 nucleotides long. The record is from RefSeq and is a predicted model, not a curated record. Lineage: Eukaryota; Metazoa; Chordata; Testudines; Emydidae.